Anthonomus grandis grandis is the source of this 1346-nucleotide long non-coding RNA. RefSeq lists it as uncharacterized. Lineage: Eukaryota; Metazoa; Arthropoda; Insecta; Coleoptera; Curculionidae. The record is from RefSeq and is a predicted model, not a curated record. The transcript has 3 exons.
CUAGCGCUUAAUAAAGAGCUGGAAUUACAAAAAAAGUCCUUAUUUAGAGUAAAAAAAUAUGACAACGUAAACAGCAAGAUUAAUAAUGGCGAUAGUUUAGAUGAUCCGGAUGAUCCAGAUUUUAUUCCAGAGCAAGCAAAGAAAAUGAAGAUACAAAAACCUAAAUGUGUGUUAAAAAAUACUGGUUCUCAAAUAAAAAAAAAACCCAAAAUUAAUAUUAUUUCGGACAUAAUUAUUUGUAAGCCUCAAGGAAUAUUGGCAAAAAGUUGCCUAACUGAAAAUCCAAAUGAAUUUAUUACGGGUUAAUUAAAUAUUAUGAUUGAAAAUGUUAUUAAAGAAUGUGAGCAAAAUCAGCUAAACAAAUUUACAAAGGACGGAAAAGUUCGAAAAAGGAAAAGAUAUAACACAUCUUUAGAGGACCGGAAAAAACAGAAACGGUAUCUGUCUGUAAAGAGAAUCAAUAAGAAAAGAAAAACUAAAGAUGGAGAUUCUAGGCGUAAUCACACAGUAGUUUACUACUUAAAAUCUAAUACAAGGACUAACGUAAAUGUGUGCAAAAAAAAAUUUUUUUUGGCAAUUUUAGGUUUUGAAGUUUAUAAUGAUCGAAUAAUUACCCUAACACAAAUAUUUCAUACGAACUUUAUCGCCAACAAGUGGUUGAGAUGAAUAUUUCUUUUGCAACGUUGGGCCAUGAAGAGUGUUGGCAAUGCGAAACAUUUAAUCUUCAUUCUAAAAAUACAAAACAUGACAAAGAAAAUCUCAACUCUGACUGUGAAGAUUGUGAAAAAUGGAAAAUUCACUAUGAAAAUGCCGUAGAGGCGAGAAAUGAGUAUAAAAAAGACGCAUCUUUUACUGCAGUAAACUCUGAUUCAUUAUAUUUUUCUGCAGAUUUACAGAAGGUUAUAAUGCUACCACGCUGUGAGAUGUUUGAAGAAAUUUUUUUUACUCCUCGGAUUAUUUGUCUUAAUGAGAGUUUCGUUACCCUCGGCAAGCAAUCUGUAAAAAACAAACCAGUAGCUAUUAUUUGGCAUGAAGGAGUGGCUGGAAGGAGUAAAUCUGAUAUUAUCUCAACAUUCUACAAAUUUCUCUUGUUUCACCGUGAUGCAAAAGAAAUAAUACUUUGGCUAGAUAAUUGCGCCGCCCAAAAUAAGAAUUGCGCUUUGUAUUGUUUUUUUUUAUUUAUUUAAUUAAUUCAGCAGAGGUUAAUCUAAAUUUACUAAAAAUAAAAUAUUUGCAAACUGGCCACACUUUUAUGUCUGCUGACUCUGCACUCACUCAGGUGGAAAAGUCCUUAAAACAAACAGGCAAAGUUUUGGAUUUUGAUGAUUUUAAAUUAGGUAUGUGUU